CCUACGGGAGGCAGCAGUGGGGAAUAUUGGACAAUGGGCGAAAGCCUGAUCCAGCCAUGCCGCGUGUGUGAAGAAGGCCUUCGGGUUGUAAAGCACUUUCAGUGGGGAAGAAAGCCUUGGGGCUAAUACCCUCGAGGAAGGACAUCACCCACAGAAGAAGCACCGGCUAACUCCGUGCCAGCAGCCGCGGUAAUACGGAGGGUGCGAGCGUUAAUCGGAAUUACUGGGCGUAAAGCGCGCGUAGGCGGUCUGAUAAGCCGGUUGUGAAAGCCCCGGGCUCAACCUGGGAACGGCAUCCGGAACUGUCAGGCUAGAGUGCAGGAGAGGAAGGUAGAAUUCCCGGUGUAGCGGUUAACUGCGUAGAGAUCGGGAGGAAUACCAGUGGCGAAGGCGGCCUUCUGGACUGACACUGACGCUGAGGUGCGAAAGCGUGGGUAGCAAACAGGAUUAGAUACCCUAGUAGUC
RNAcentral lists this ribosomal RNA (465 nucleotides) under Vreelandella stevensii. RNAcentral's name for it is "partial 16S ribosomal RNA". It matches the Rfam family "Bacterial small subunit ribosomal RNA", at positions 338 to 795 of the family's 1533-position model. Lineage: Bacteria; Pseudomonadati; Pseudomonadota; Gammaproteobacteria; Oceanospirillales; Halomonadaceae. The record is from RNAcentral.